GAGCUAGUGGGUGGUCAAGCUUACAUUAAUUCUAGAUUUGUCUAGAUUGAUGGAUUCUGCAUUCUACCAUCUAAGAUUAAAAUUUGACUGGAAGAAUACUCUAGAUGUUCAGUCAAAAGCUAAAGGUUAAAAUUUGCAUGAAAUAACUCAUGAAUUCUAUUUCCAUUGUUUCAACUGAAAAUUAUUUGCAAAAUAAAUGUGCGUGUACAUUAUAAAUUUGAUUGGCAAUAUUGAUUUAAAACGGAGGUUAUCAAUAUUUUUUAAGUACAAGGUGUCAGAAUUGUAUUGAACUCCUAAAAGAAUAAACCCAAAAUAAGUUUUAAAAUAUGACCAAAAUUUGAUAUUAAAAUCACAGAAAAGAGUAAUAGAACCCUGGAUUGAGAAUAAAAAUGACUGUAUUCUGCCUUAGAAUGUACUCCUUUAAAUGAACAGUAAUUCCUUGAAGAAGUCUCUGUGCAUAUCUAAAUUUAAUUUUCUUCAUUGCACACUAAGCUUCUGAUAGUUGCUUUUGGGGAUCGAUGAAUCGCUUGAGAAUCUCUGAUUGGGCAAAAGGCCUAAGUGUCUAUAAGAAGCUGAGGAGCUGGAGUGGGAGCAGAAACGUCUGGCAGGGUGAAUGGAGGUGAGGAAGAGGCAGAGGACUGAAGGAGGAUAUAGCAAAGGAUGCCAAAAGCCAAAUGGAAGAUCAAAGGUGGUAAAAAGAAAAGGUGGAAAAGCAGAGCUGGAAGAAGUGGGAUUAAUCCAUAUGGUAAAGAAGAAAAUAUAGAUAUUUGGACCGAAGAGGUUAAAAAAGUCAAUGGAUGACACCAUUCUCUGAAGAAAAUUAAAGAGGAAUCCAAACUCAUUGUAUGAGGCCAGCAUUACGCUGAUACCUGAUCCACAGAAGGACACUAGAAGAAAAGAAAAUCACAGGCUAAUUUCCUUGAUGAACAUAGAUGCAAGGAUCCUCAACAAAAUACCAGCAAACCAAAUUCAACAGCACAUUAACAGUGUCACACAUGAGCAACUGGAAUUUAUCCCUGGGACGGAAGGAUGGUUCAACACUGGCCUAUUGUUUUUAAGGCUUUCUGGCUCUGGAAACUGUAAACUCUUGCCUCCAAAAUGACCUCAGGAGUCUCCCAGGAAUUACAGGAGACUAUUCCAAGGUGCAAUAAUUUAUCUCUCAAAGAGAUAAAAGUUUAAUUUUAAUUUUUCUUUCUUCUGCUUUACUGAAUUAAUUUAUGAAAAUUC
Homo sapiens (human) is the source of this 1227-nucleotide long non-coding RNA. RefSeq lists it as uncharacterized. The record is from RefSeq and is marked validated. Lineage: Eukaryota; Metazoa; Chordata; Mammalia; Primates; Hominidae. The transcript is spliced from 4 exons.